Molecule: ribosomal RNA, 253 nt
Filed under: uncultured bacterium
Lineage: Bacteria
Description: partial 16S ribosomal RNA
Rfam family: Bacterial small subunit ribosomal RNA
Source: RNAcentral
UACGUAGGGGGCAAGCGUUGUCCGGAUUUAUUGGGCGUAAAGCGCUCGCAGGCGGUCCGAUGCGUCGUGCGUGAAAGACCCCGGCUCAACUGGGGAGGGUCGUGCGAUACGGUCGGACUCGAGGCCAGUAGGGGGACGCGGAAUUCCGGGUGUAGUGGUGGAAUGCGUAGAGAUCCGGAGGAACACCAGCGGCGAAGGCGGCGUCCUGGACUGGUACUGACGCUCAGGAGCGAAAGCUAGGGGAGCAAACGGG